RNAcentral lists this ribosomal RNA (2917 nucleotides) under Escherichia coli. RNAcentral's name for it is "partial 23S ribosomal RNA". It matches the Rfam family "Bacterial large subunit ribosomal RNA". Lineage: Bacteria; Pseudomonadati; Pseudomonadota; Gammaproteobacteria; Enterobacterales; Enterobacteriaceae. The record is from RNAcentral.
GUUAAGCGACUAAGCGUACACGGUGGAUGCCCUGGCAGUCAGAGGCGAUGAAGGACGUGCUAAUCUGCGAUAAGCGUCGGUAAGGUGAUAUGAACCGUUAUAACCGGCGAUUUCCGAAUGGGGAAACCCAGUGUGAUUCGUCACACUAUCAUUAACUGAAUCCAUAGGUUAAUGAGGCGAACCGGGGGAACUGAAACAUCUAAGUACCCCGAGGAAAAGAAAUCAACCGAGAUUCCCCCAGUAGCGGCGAGCGAACGGGGAGCAGCCCAGAGCCUGAAUCAGUGUGUGUGUUAGUGGAAGCGUCUGGAAAGGCGCGCGAUACAGGGUGACAGCCCCGUACACAAAAAUGCACAUACUGUGAGCUCGAUGAGUAGGGCGGGACACGUGGUAUCCUGUCUGAAUAUGGGGGGACCAUCCUCCAAGGCUAAAUACUCCUGACUGACCGAUAGUGAACCAGUACCGUGAGGGAAAGGCGAAAAGAACCCCGGCGAGGGGAGUGAAAAAGAACCUGAAACCGUGUACGUACAAGCAGUGGGAGCACAGAGCAAUCUGUGUGACUGCGUACCUUUUGUAUAAUGGGUCAGCGACUUAUAUUCUGUAGCAAGGUUAACCGAAUAGGGGAGCCGAAGGGAAACCGAGUCUUAACUGGGCGUUAAGUUGCAGGGUAUAGACCCGAAACCCGGUGAUCUAGCCAUGGGCAGGUUGAAGGUUGGGUAACACUAACUGGAGGACCGAACCGACUAAUGUUGAAAAAUUAGCGGAUGACUUGUGGCUGGGGGUGAAAGGCCAAUCAAACCGGGAGAUAGCUGGUUCUCCCCGAAAGCUAUUUAGGUAGCGCCUCGUGAAUUCAUCUCCGGGGGUAGAGCACUGUUUCGGCAAGGGGGUCAUCCCGACUUACCAACCCGAUGCAAACUGCGAAUACCGGAGAAUGUUAUCACGGGAGACACACGGCGGGUGCUAACGUCCGUCGUGAAGAGGGAAACAACCCAGACCGCCAGCUAAGGUCCCAAAGUCAUGGUUAAGUGGGAAACGAUGUGGGAAGGCCCAGACAGCCAGGAUGUUGGCUUAGAAGCAGCCAUCAUUUAAAGAAAGCGUAAUAGCUCACUGGUCGAGUCGGCCUGCGCGGAAGAUGUAACGGGGCUAAACCAUGCACCGAAGCUGCGGCAGCGACGCUGAUGCGUUGUUGGGUAGGGGAGCGUUCUGUAAGCCUGUGAAGGUGUGCUGUGAGGCAUGCUGGAGGUAUCAGAAGUGCGAAUGCUGACAUAAGUAACGAUAAAGCGGGUGAAAAGCCCGCUCGCCGGAAGACCAAGGGUUCCUGUCCAACGUUAAUCGGGGCAGGGUGAGUCGACCCCUAAGGCGAGGCCGAAAGGCGUAGUCGAUGGGAAACAGGUUAAUAUUCCUGUACUUGGUGUUACUGCGAAGGGGGGACGGAGAAGGCUAUGUUGGCCGGGCGACGGUUGUCCCGGUUUAAGCGUGUAGGCUGGUUUUCCAGGCAAAUCCGGAAAAUCAAGGCUGAGGCGUGAUGACGAGGCACUACGGUGCUGAAGCAACAAAUGCCCUGCUUCCAGGAAAAGCCUCUAAGCAUCAGGUAACAUCAAAUCGUACCCCAAACCGACACAGGUGGUCAGGUAGAGAAUACCAAGGCGCUUGAGAGAACUCGGGUGAAGGAACUAGGCAAAAUGGUGCCGUAACUUCGGGAGAAGGCACGCUGAUAUGUAGGUGAAGUCCCUCGCGGAUGGAGCUGAAAUCAGUCGAAGAUACCAGCUGGCUGCAACUGUUUAUUAAAAACACAGCACUGUGCAAACACGAAAGUGGACGUAUACGGUGUGACGCCUGCCCGGUGCCGGAAGGUUAAUUGAUGGGGUUAGCGCAAGCGAAGCUCUUGAUCGAAGCCCCGGUAAACGGCGGCCGUAACUAUAACGGUCCUAAGGUAGCGAAAUUCCUUGUCGGGUAAGUUCCGACCUGCACGAAUGGCGUAAUGAUGGCCAGGCUGUCUCCACCCGAGACUCAGUGAAAUUGAACUCGCUGUGAAGAUGCAGUGUACCCGCGGCAAGACGGAAAGACCCCGUGAACCUUUACUAUAGCUUGACACUGAACAUUGAGCCUUGAUGUGUAGGAUAGGUGGGAGGCUUUGAAGUGUGGACGCCAGUCUGCAUGGAGCCGACCUUGAAAUACCACCCUUUAAUGUUUGAUGUUCUAACGUUGACCCGUGAUCCGGGUUGCGGACAGUGUCUGGUGGGUAGUUUGACUGGGGCGGUCUCCUCCUAAAGAGUAACGGAGGAGCACGAAGGUUGGCUAAUCCUGGUCGGACAUCAGGAGGUUAGUGCAAUGGCAUAAGCCAGCUUGACUGCGAGCGUGACGGCGCGAGCAGGUGCGAAAGCAGGUCAUAGUGAUCCGGUGGUUCUGAAUGGAAGGGCCAUCGCUCAACGGAUAAAAGGUACUCCGGGGAUAACAGGCUGAUACCGCCCAAGAGUUCAUAUCGACGGCGGUGUUUGGCACCUCGAUGUCGGCUCAUCACAUCCUGGGGCUGAAGUAGGUCCCAAGGGUAUGGCUGUUCGCCAUUUAAAGUGGUACGCGAGCUGGGUUUAGAACGUCGUGAGACAGUUCGGUCCCUAUCUGCCGUGGGCGCUGGAGAAUUGAGGGGGGCUGCUCCUAGUACGAGAGGACCGGAGUGGACGCAUCACUGGUGUUCGGGUUGUCAUGCCAAUGGCACUGCCCGGUAGCUAAAUGCGGAAGAGAUAAGUGCUGAAAGCAUCUAAGCACGAAACUUGCCCCGAGAUGAGUUCUCCCUGACUCCUUGAGAGUCCUGAAGGAACGUUGAAGACGACGACGUUGAUAGGCCGGGUGUGUAAGCGCAGCGAUGCGUUGAGCUAACCGGUACUAAUGAACCGUGAGGCUUAACCUUACAACGCCGAAG